This 201-nucleotide ribosomal RNA is filed under the name uncultured Flavobacteriaceae bacterium. Its description in RNAcentral is "partial 23S ribosomal RNA". It matches the Rfam family "Bacterial large subunit ribosomal RNA", at positions 1 to 214 of the family's 2925-position model. Lineage: Bacteria; Pseudomonadati; Bacteroidota; Flavobacteriia; Flavobacteriales; Flavobacteriaceae. The record is from RNAcentral.
GAUAGGCUAAUUAAGGGCGUAUGGGGAAUGCCUAGGCUCUCAGAGGCGAAGAAGGACGUGAUAAGCUGCGAAAAGCUACGGUUAGUGGCACAUACACUUUGAUCCGUAGAUAUCCCAAUGGGGCAACCCGGCAUAUUGAAGAUAUGUCAUCCGACCUAGUCGGAAGCAAACCCGGAGAACUGAAACAUCUAAGUACCCGGA